RNAcentral lists this small RNA (29 nucleotides) under Bombyx mori (domestic silkworm). RNAcentral describes it as "ovarian small RNA-374". The record is from RNAcentral. Lineage: Eukaryota; Metazoa; Arthropoda; Insecta; Lepidoptera; Bombycidae.
GCGUCUCCAUCGCUCGACCUGCCGGCAAC